AUGUCUGAAUCCUGGGAGGAUUUGUUUCCUUUGGUCUCUGUCAGGAAGCUGGUUCGUGAAAUUUUAGAUCACAAUCCCUUGUUGCUGAACACGGGUGAGGAGGGGCGUGAGGCUCCGAAACCAAGAGAGUUUCGGUUCGACCUGGCCUGGGUAAAAGAUGAUAGAUUCCUGCCGUUGGUUCAGAAAAUUUGUUCACGCAGGGUUUUUUCUUCCGACCCCAUUGAUGUUUUAAACAUCAAGCUCAAGAGGUUUAAGUCUUAUUUUAAAGGGUGGGGCUCGGAUAGAUUUGGUCAUGAUAAGAAAAGAAAGGAAGACCUUCGGAUGGAGCUGGAAAUGUUGGAAGAAUUAGAAGAAGAAGCCCCUCUUUCUCCUGAGCUGUACAGUAGAAAGAUCGAUGUCUGUUUUGAACUUCAUGAGUUGCUUGUCAAUGAGGAAAUUUUUUGGUUACAACAAUCGCACGAGCGAUGGUUGCUCAAAGGGGAUUUGAAUACUGAUUACUUCGAUCGUAUAGCUAAUGGACGUAAACGGAAAAACACGAUCCACUCCCUUAAGGUUGGCGACAUGGAGAUAGAGGGCACCGAUAAGCUGAUUGUGCACGCCACGGAGUUCUAUAAAGAAUUGUUCGGCCCAGCUCCUGGAAACCAGUUUCACCUAGAUCCUGACACAUGGGCACCAGAGGAAAAACUUAGUGAGGAGGAUAAUACUGACCUGUGUAGAGAGUUCUCGGAGGAGGGGGUCAAGGAGGCCCUGUUUGACAUG
RNAcentral lists this ribosomal RNA (759 nucleotides) under Triticum aestivum (bread wheat). Its description in RNAcentral is "partial small subunit ribosomal RNA". Lineage: Eukaryota; Viridiplantae; Streptophyta; Magnoliopsida; Poales; Poaceae. The record is from RNAcentral.